CACUUUUUUUCUUUUCAACUUCACCAUUCUUUUCGUUCUUUUCAACUUCUUCCUCCUCACUCCACUCCCCCACUUCACCAUCAAUAUGGUCCUCCAAUAUUUCCUCCUCAUUUUCUUUCUCAUCUCUUUUUUUAUUCUCACUGAUCAACUCCCUCCCACUUCGCGUCAUGAUCGCUUUACAAUGUUCCUUAGGAUUUGUUUGCGUGUUUGCCGAAAAGGAAGGACCGGGUUGUUGUUCCGCGAGUUGCUUAGCAAGUUGCCCAACUUGAGUCUCGAGAUUUUUUAUAGCC
Molecule: long non-coding RNA, 290 nt
Filed under: Lathyrus oleraceus (garden pea)
Lineage: Eukaryota; Viridiplantae; Streptophyta; Magnoliopsida; Fabales; Fabaceae
Description: Pisum sativum (pea) long non-coding RNA (PSAT_LNC033416)
Source: RNAcentral